Prionailurus viverrinus (fishing cat) is the source of this 1516-nucleotide long non-coding RNA. RefSeq lists it as uncharacterized. The transcript has 3 exons. Lineage: Eukaryota; Metazoa; Chordata; Mammalia; Carnivora; Felidae. The record is from RefSeq and is a predicted model, not a curated record.
CCCUUCGAGAAGGUCGCCAACCCGAAGAAAGCAGACACAGGGUUCCUGACCCCUGCCGGGCACGCCCAAGCGCCGAGUGAGGAACCCCUGCGCAGCUUGCCUUGCUUGCCACUCGAGGCCCCCGCCCCGACGAGCCGCCAGCGCUGCUGCGUGAACAGGUGACUUUAUUCACUGCUUCCCGAAUCGGCGAGGUCCCGGGACUCGUUUUCCGCCUGGAGAUUAAGAUCAUUGCUCGCGUAAUGAACUUAAUGCUUUAGGGUAGAGCUCCGCCUUGGGAGAGAAUGUUACAGACGCGUUGGCGGGCAGAUUGGGCCAAAAAGUGACACACACACACACACACACACACACACACACACACACACACACACUCACUCACUCUCGCCGCUCCCCGCCAGCAGCCGCCUCCCUUGAAAGGCGAUCUCCCGCUGUUUCUCCCUCGCCGCUCUUUGCUCGGCUCUGGGAUUCCCAACCUCCUGUAAACUGCACCUGGCCACCCUGAACGCAGCGGACCUUCUAACAGUCAAGAAACAGCAAGCCGUCUGAGAAGACGGAAUUUCCAACGUGUAAAAUGUUCUUAACGGAACCAUUGAGCGAGUGCAAUAAGGCGUGAGGGGGAACUAAUCUUCCCAUUUAAAUGUUUGUGGCAAUUUUAUCUAAAUGAAUUUUAAUGCUAAACGAGGGUAAUUCCCCAUUUGUAGCGCGUUUACUUCUCUUUCCUGUGCUUCUAAAGCAGUCGAACAUCAUGCAAUGAACAAUAACAAUAAAAAUACUGUCAAGGCAUAUUAUUCAUUUCGAAUGUGUUAUAAUUACAGCUGAUUAAAUAUGAUAGGGUAAAAUAUUUUUAGUUUUCUUUAAAAAAAUAUUUAAAUCAUACUAAAAAGUCUCAUUCAACCAGCACCCCCCCCCCAAUAAAAAUAAAAAGCAGGUACAAUUGUGUGCCCUUGUUUAGAAGAGGGCGUUUUGUUUUUGCCUUUUAAGAAACAUCAAAAACACCCUCAGCACCUCUAUUCUUUCUUUCUUUCAGAUAAGUGUCCUCCAUAACCUCCGAGCUGGCUCUGAAAUUUACAAGAGGAAAGCUAAAAUCGCAUUAAGGGGGAGUGGGGGUGUCCAGGCAAGGGGAGAAAGGAUCUGCGGAGAGCAAGGCCCUCACAAAACCGCCACACAGAGCAGGGAACACAGGGAAAGAACACAGUUUGUUUUAUUUUUUCUAAUUCACUGGACACUAAUGGUCGUGAUUCUUCAUAGUCUCCAUAUUCCCUGAUUCUUCUUCACUGGUACCCUACUCCUUCUCCUAGUGCCCGCCUCUCUCCACUCCCCCCUUCCCAUCUCUCUCUCUCUCCUUCUCUGCCUCCCUCCCUCCCUCCUCCCCUUUCUUUCCCUCCCCCAACCAGCGAGAGCACCGUCGAGAAGAAAGGCUGAAAAUAACCUACUCACCCAAGCUUGUACUGGGGAGGAGGGGCAAAUGGAUGGGUAGUUUAUAAAGUUUAUUAUUAAUUUUUAAAGUAAAUAAAUGGUU